This 392-nucleotide ribosomal RNA is filed under the name uncultured bacterium. RNAcentral describes it as "partial 16S ribosomal RNA". It matches the Rfam family "Bacterial small subunit ribosomal RNA", at positions 523 to 918 of the family's 1533-position model. The record is from RNAcentral.
ACACGUAGGGGCCUGACGUUGUUCGGAAUCAUUGGGCGUAAAGGGCGCGCAGGCGGCCGUCCAAGUCCGGUGUUAAAUGGUCGGGCUCAACCCGAUCAUGCGCUGGAAACUGGGCGGCUUGAGUCCCGUAGGGGAUGCCGGAAUUCCAGGUGUAGGGGUGAAAUCUGUAGGUAUCUGGAAGAACACCGAUGGCGAAGGCAGGCAUCUGGCCGGAGACUGACGCUGAGGCGCGAAGGCGCGGGGAGCGAACAGGUUUAGAUACCCUGGUAGUCCGCGCAGUAAACGAUGCGCACCAGGUGUCGGGCGGCAGCGCCCGGUACCGGAGCUAACGCGAUGAGUGCGCCGCCUGGGGAGUAUGCCCGCAAGGGUGAAACUCAAAGGAAUUGACGGGG